Long non-coding RNA from Mya arenaria, 1171 nucleotides. RefSeq lists it as uncharacterized. The transcript is spliced from 4 exons. NCBI's taxonomy places the organism in Eukaryota, Metazoa, Mollusca, Bivalvia, Myida, Myidae. The record is from RefSeq and is a predicted model, not a curated record.
UACACAAUAUGGCGGCGAUUAUGCGGAAAUGAAAUUGAAUGUUACUUCGAACACGUUCUUCUACAAAAUACCUGUGUUUAGUGCUUUUGUUUUAACAUCAAUCGAAGCAAAAAUGACAUCAAUGUAUGCGUCUAAAAAUGUGAAGAUGGAGACAAUCCAGAAAUGAGCUGCCAGGAAGUGAUCGAUUUCGGACACGAAGAUUGAGAAGAGCCUGGAUACAAGGCUAGUAUUGUUAACAUCAUCUGAUACAAUCAACUGGAACAAAGCUGAAAUGGCUGCCUGACCUGACUUAAAAAUUGGAUGGCAGUACAUCAAACUAGAAGAUUACAAGUAUUGAGGUGGACAAAAUGAAACCUGGGCCUACCAAAGCUGUCAGAUUGCACAAGAAACACAUAAAUGCAGAUUGGAAGAUUCAUUCUCUGGAAAGUAGAAAAGGGCAUGUUACAUACUGUUAUCACUGCCAUGACAGAAACCAUAUUGAGGAGCUGGUCCACCUGUAGGAAGAAUUGCGCUAUUGGUUGGAGCAGCACUAUUACCCAGCCAUACACCAGCACUUAGUUUGUCAUAGGGAGCAUUUCUGAGCAGUUAUGGAGACCACUAACUAUGCAGUUGUUGCAGUGAAACUUGCACCAGUGUGUUUUCUGUGGAGAUAAAGAGAUAGUGUCCAGCAAUGAAGACCCAACUCAAGAUCUGACCUUGUAAGGCCAAUAUGAAAUAACUGUGUGGGAAAAUGGGAAAAACCUGCAGUCAGGAAUGCACGGAAAUCAUCAAAAGAACAGUGUUAAAUUAAUCUUAGAUAACUUGACAUUUAUUUUGUUUGACAUAUUUAUUCAUGGUGCAGUGAAAACAUUCUUUUUUUCUCAUGGUUAUUUAAAUUUAGAAUUGAUAGGAGGGAACAUCACUAUGUAGUUUCAUGUUCAUAGUUAGAUCAAAACCCAUGUACAUGCCCAAAUGAGCAUUUGAAAAUAUCAAAAUGGUACUUGUUGUAUGAAGUGUAAGUUAAUUAACAUAAUAAACAAAAAUAUUUAAUCAAUUUCAAUUUAUUAUGCCCCUUUCAAAGAAGAGGAGUAUAUUGCUUUGCACAUGUUGGCCGCUACGUCCGUCUGUCUGACAGUAGACCAAAGCUUUUCCGGGUGAUAACUCUACAAUUCCUAGACCUAUUGUCAAACUU